UACGGGAGGCAGCAGUGGGGAAUAUUGCACAAUGGGGGGAACCCUGAUGCAGCGAUGCCGCGUGAAGGACGACGGUUUUCGGAUUGUAAACUUCUAUCAGCGAGGAAGAGAACGGACAGUACUCGAGUAAGCAGCCCCGGCUAACUACGUGCCAGCAGCCGCGGUAAU
This 168-nucleotide ribosomal RNA is filed under the name uncultured rumen bacterium. RNAcentral's name for it is "partial 16S ribosomal RNA". It matches the Rfam family "Bacterial small subunit ribosomal RNA", at positions 340 to 524 of the family's 1533-position model. The record is from RNAcentral.